Long non-coding RNA from Boleophthalmus pectinirostris (great blue-spotted mudskipper), 1167 nucleotides. RefSeq lists it as uncharacterized. The record is from RefSeq and is a predicted model, not a curated record. Lineage: Eukaryota; Metazoa; Chordata; Actinopteri; Gobiiformes; Gobiidae. The transcript is spliced from 6 exons.
UGAAACUCUGAUGAUCCUUCAUUCAGAGAACCCACCAGGAGACCCUGAUGUUAUAGCCUCUUCUGUACACUGUGUCUGGCUUGUGGUGUCCUCUCGACAUGAUGAUAAAGAAAGAGAAGUUGACAGACCUGUGCUAAAUACAAAGAACAGACAAACCAGGGUCAGUAAGCAAAAAGAAUGAAUGAACUCCGUGGUAGACUGCUGUAUAUUUGGUGAUGCUUUCUUGGGAAGCACAAUGAGAAGACACCGGAGGUGAGGUCAGACUGUCAGACCCUUAUUUGUCCAACAAUGGGUAAAUCACAGUGCUGCAAGCAAGAUAAGCAUGGGAAUGAGAAGCAUCAUUAAUGCGCCACCCAAGAUGUUCUAUCCAAAUGUAGGACAGAGGAGAUCAGAUUUCAGCAAUUUGCCAACCUUGAGUUCUUUAAGAAAUCCCAAGUGCUCAACAGAGGCAAUGUCUCAAGUGACUGCUCUCUGUGGUGCUGUGCACCGUUACAUGUACAUGUGAACCGAAGUUCCUCUAUUUAUUUUCUGCCUUUAUUCUAUGGUGUCACAUGUCAGCAGCUAUCUUGUGACUGAAGAAACAUCUUCAGAUUUUGAGAGGGAUUUUCAAGGCGGAAAGAUUCAUCAAAUGAUUCAGCAAGACAUCUUCAUCCACACCAAAGUUUGAGGCUGUAUUCGGCAAUGAAGGCUUCAACUGAUGUGAAUGUGCUACCUGCUCCCGUCUAAACAGACUACGCUGAGGACUUCUGGUUAUUCCCCCCACCAAAAGAAAGUGUGGCAGGUGUUUGCUAAGAGGUUAUUUAAAAUAUAUUGCAAUCUAUGAUGUGAUUGCAUUUUUUAUUUUAUAGAGCAACCAGUCAGGGCAAAAAAAAUGAAUGGGUUUUCUGUUCAGAGACAACACCCUUGGGAUCACUGUGGCAAGAACUGUAUAAGUGCAAUAAAGGAUCAUCUCUGAAGAAAUUAUAUCUGAAAAGGUGAAGGAGUGAACAGGAAAAAUAAAGAGGCUGUCUGACUAAUCACCAGGCCCACGUCUACAGGGGUACAAAAGGAUGCUGAGCAAUCUCAUUUAAAAGUGUUUGUAUGUAAAAUAAUGACAGAUAAAAUGGAAGAGUAUUGUUUGCACCCCUUUGAAACUCGGAUGCACCCUGAGUCAGUUAGGUCCCACAC